Phrynosoma platyrhinos (Desert horned lizard) is the source of this 72-nucleotide non-coding RNA. NCBI's taxonomy places the organism in Eukaryota, Metazoa, Chordata, Lepidosauria, Squamata, Phrynosomatidae. The record is from the annotation of a GenBank genome assembly.
GCCGGUGUCACAUAGUGGUUUGAGUGUUGGAUUAUAACUCUGGAGACUAGGGUUCGAUUCCCAGCUCGGACA